This is a non-coding RNA of Triticum urartu, 133 nucleotides long. The record is from Rfam. Lineage: Eukaryota; Viridiplantae; Streptophyta; Magnoliopsida; Poales; Poaceae.
GUAGUACUCCCUCCGUCCGGAAAUACUUGUCAUCAAAAUGAAUAAAAGGGGAUGUAUCUAGAUGUAUACUAGUUCUAGAUACAUCUUUUUAUCCAUUUUGAUGACAAGUAUUUUUGGACGGAGGGAGUACUCG